RNAcentral lists this ribosomal RNA (447 nucleotides) under uncultured bacterium. RNAcentral describes it as "SSU rRNA". It matches the Rfam family "Bacterial small subunit ribosomal RNA", at positions 26 to 518 of the family's 1533-position model. The record is from RNAcentral.
AGAGCGAACGCUGGCGGCAGGCUUAACACAUGCAAGUCGAGCGGGCGUAGCAAUACGUCAGCGGCAGACGGGUGAGUAACGCGUGGGAACAUACCUUUUGGUUCGGAACAACACAGGGAAACUUGUGCUAAUACCGGAUACGCCCUUACGGGGAAAGAUUUAUCGCCGAAAGAUUGGCCCGCGUCUGAUUAGCUAGUUGGUGAGGUAAUGGCUCACCAAGGCGACGAUCAGUAGCUGGUCUGAGAGGAUGAUCAGCCACAUUGGGACUGAGACACGGCCCAAACUCCUACGGGAGGCAGCAGUGGGGAAUAUUGGACAAUGGGCGCAAGCCUGAUCCAGCCAUGCCGCGUGAGUGAUGAAGGCCCUAGGGUUGUAAAGCUCUUUUGUGCGGGAAGAUAAUGACGGUACCGCAAGAAUAAGCCCGGCUAACUUCGCGCCAGCAGCCGC